GACGAGCGCUGGCGGCGUGCCUAAUACAUGCAAGUCGAGCGAACCAAUAAGAAGCUUGCUUUUUGUUGGUUAGCGGCGGACGGGUGAGUAACACGUGGGUAGCCUGCCUGUAAGACCGGGAUAACUCCGGGAAACCGGUGCUAAUACCGGAUAGAUUAUCUUUCCGCAUGGAGAGAUAAGGAAAGAUGGCUAUUGCCAUCACUUACAGAUGGGCCCGCGGCGCAUUAGCUAGUUGGUGAGGUAACGGCUCACCAAGGCGACGAUGCGUAGCCGACCUGGGAGGGUGAUCGGCCACACUGGGACUGAGACACGGCCCAGACUCCUACGGGAGGCAGCAGUAGGGAAUCUUCCGCAAUGGACGAAAGUCUGACGGAGCAACGCCGCGUGAGCGAAGAAGGUCUUCGGAUCGUAAAGCUCUGUUGUUAGGGAAGAACAAGUAUCGGAGGAAAUGCCGGUACCUUGACGGUACCUGACGAGAAAGCCACGGCUAACUACGUG
This 498-nucleotide ribosomal RNA is filed under the name uncultured bacterium. RNAcentral describes it as "partial 16S ribosomal RNA". It matches the Rfam family "Bacterial small subunit ribosomal RNA", at positions 28 to 507 of the family's 1533-position model. The record is from RNAcentral.